This is a long non-coding RNA of Syzygium oleosum, 268 nucleotides long. RefSeq lists it as uncharacterized. Lineage: Eukaryota; Viridiplantae; Streptophyta; Magnoliopsida; Myrtales; Myrtaceae. The record is from RefSeq and is a predicted model, not a curated record. The transcript is spliced from 2 exons.
GCCUCUAAUCUUAUGUAUUCUCUAUUUAGAAACCAAAAUCAGUAUUAAAUGGCUUGUCAUUUUCCAUUUCACUAUGCAAAUUAAUAUUCUACGCGAACAAGGCUUUACGGAUGAAGAGUGCAAAAGGAUAACCGCGGCUGCAAUGAUUUUGUCUGAGGGCUUGGAAACUGAGACACGUUCCUAGUUACAGAAAGGAGAAAUUCACAAAGCCAAAAUAGCGCAAGAUUCAAGAAUUGCUAAGUAUGAACAGGAAAUAUCUUAUAAGCAA